RNAcentral lists this ribosomal RNA (301 nucleotides) under uncultured bacterium. RNAcentral's name for it is "partial 16S ribosomal RNA". It matches the Rfam family "Bacterial small subunit ribosomal RNA", at positions 509 to 807 of the family's 1533-position model. The record is from RNAcentral.
CAGUCGCCACGGUAAUACGGAGGGCGCGAGCGUUACCCGGAUUUACUGGGCGUAAAGGGCGUGUAGGCGGCCUGGGGCGUCCCAUGUGAAAGGCCACGGCUCAACCGUGGAGGAGCGUGGGAUACGCUCAGGCUAGAGGGUGGGAGAGGGUGGUGGAAUUCCCGGAGUAGCGGUGAAAUGCGCAGAUACCGGGAGGAACGCCGAUGGCGAAGGCAGCCACCUGGUCCACUUCUGACGCUGAGGCGCGAAAGCGUGGGGAGCAAACUGGAUUAGAUACCCGUGUAGUCCCUGUCUCUUAUAC